AGAGUUUGAUCAUGGCUCAGGAUGAACGCUGGCGGCGUGCCUAACACAUGCAAGUCGAGCGAGAUGUAUAUGGACGAAACUUCGGUCUAGGAAAUAUAUUGACAGCGGCGGACGGGUGAGUAACGCGUAGGCAACCUGCCCUUAACACAGGGAUAGCCUCGGGAAACCGGGAUUAAAACCUGAUAAUGCCAAAUAGUCACAUGGCUGUUUGGCCAAAGAUUCAUCGGUUAAGGAUGGGCCUGCGUCUGAUUAGUUUGUUGGUGGGGUAACGGCCUACCAAGACUACGAUCAGUAGCCGACCUGAGAGGGUGAUCGGCCACAUUGGAACUGAGACACGGUCCAAACUCCUACGGGAGGCAGCAGUGGGGAAUAUUGCACAAUGGGCGAAAGCCUGAUGCAGCAACGCCGCGUGAGCGAUGAAGGCCUUUGGGUCGUAAAGCUCUGUCCUUGGGGAAGAAAAAAAUGACGGUACCCAAGGAGGAAGCCCCGGCUAACUACGUGCCAGCAGCCGCGGUAAUACGUAGGGGGCAAGCGUUAUCCGGAAUUAUUGGGCGUAAAGAGUACGUAGGUGGUCUUUUAAGCGCAGGGUUUAAGGCAAUGGCUUAACCAUUGUUCGCCCUGUGAACUGGAAGACUUGAGUGUAGGAGAGGAAAGUGGAAUUCCUAGUGUAGCGGUGAAAUGCGUAAAUAUUAGGAGGAACAUCAGUGGCCGAAGGCGACUUUCUGGACUAUUACUGACACUGAGGUACGAAAGCGUGGGGAAGCAAACAGGAUUAAAUACCCUGGUA
Molecule: ribosomal RNA, 787 nt
Filed under: uncultured bacterium
Lineage: Bacteria
Description: bacterial SSU rRNA
Rfam family: Bacterial small subunit ribosomal RNA
Source: RNAcentral